Molecule: ribosomal RNA, 254 nt
Filed under: uncultured bacterium
Lineage: Bacteria
Description: partial 16S ribosomal RNA
Rfam family: Bacterial small subunit ribosomal RNA
Source: RNAcentral
UACGAAGGGGGCUAGCGUUGCUCGGAAUUACUGGGCGUAAAGGGAGCGUAGGCGGAUAGUUUAGUCAGAGGUGAAAGCCCAGGGCUCAACCUUGGAAUUGCCUUUGAUACUGGCUAUCUUGAGUACGGAAGAGGUAUGUGGAACUCCGAGUGUAGAGGUGAAAUUCGUAGAUAUUCGGAAGAACACCAGUGGCGAAGGCGACAUACUGGUCCGUUACUGACGCUGAGGCUCGAAAGCGUGGGGAGCAAACAGGG